GAGGUAUGGCUCAGUGGUAGAGCACUUGCUUAGCAUGCAUGAGGCCCUGGGUUUGAUCCCAGGGACCACA
This 70-nucleotide transfer RNA is filed under the name Marmota monax (woodchuck). Its description in RNAcentral is "tRNA.Ala". It matches the Rfam family "tRNA". Rfam says of the family: Transfer RNA (tRNA) molecules are approximately 80 nucleotides in length. Their secondary structure includes four short double-helical elements and three loops (D, anti-codon, and T loops). Lineage: Eukaryota; Metazoa; Chordata; Mammalia; Rodentia; Sciuridae. The record is from RNAcentral.